AGAGUUUGAUCCUGGCUCAGAACGAACGCUGGCGGCAGGCCUAACACAUGCAAGUCGAAGGAGAAGCACUCUUCGGAGUGUGGACACUAACGCACAAGUGAGUAACGCGUGGGAAUCUACCCCAAGGUAAAAAACAACCGCUGGAAACAACGGCUAAUACCGCAUACACCUUGAAAGGGAAAACUUUAGCGCCCUGGGAUGAGCCCGCGUUAGAUUAGGUUGUUGGUGGGAUAAUGGCCUACCAAGCCUACGAUCUAUAGCUGGUCUGAGAGGAUGAUCAGCCACACUGGGACUGAGACACGGCCCAGACUCCUACGAAAAACAACAAUAAAAAAUAUUAGACAAUAAAAACAACCCUGAUCCAGCCAUGCCACGUGCAUAAAAAAAGCCUUAAAAUUGUAAAGCGCUUUCACUGAUGAAGAUGAUGACUAUAGCCAAAGAAGAAGCCCCAGCUAACUCCGUGCCAGCAGCCACGAUAAUACGGAAAAAACAAGCGUUGUUCGGAAUUACUGGGCGUAAAGAGCGCGUAGGCAGAAUAUCAAGUUAGGAGUGAAAGGCCUGGGCUCAACCUAGGAACUGCCUCUAAAACUGGUAAUCUAGAGUUCAAAAAAGGAUAGCGGAAUUCCUAGUGUAAAGGUGAAAUUCGUAGAUAUUAGAAAGAACACCGAUGGCGAAGGCGACUAUCUGGCCCGAUACUGACACUGAGGCGCAAAAGCGUAGAAAGCAAACAGGAUUAGAUACCCUGGUAGUCCACGCCGUAAACGAUGUGUGCUAGCCGUUAAAGCACUUAGUGUCUCGGUGGCACAGCUAACACUUUAAACACACCGCCUGGGGAGUACGAUCACAAGAUUAAAACUCAAAGGAAUUGACAAAAACCCACACAAGCGAUGGAGCAUAUGGUUUAAUUCGAAGCAACGCGCAGAACCUUACCAGCCCUUGACAUGAGCAUCGCGGAUUUGAGAAACCAGAUCCUUCAGUUCGGCUGGACGCCACACAGGUGCUGCAUGGCUGUCGUCAGCUCGUGUCAUGAGAUGUUGGGUUAAGUCCCGCAACGAGCGCAACCCUCGCCCUUAGUUGCCAUCGGUUCGGCCGGGCACUCUAGGGGAACUGCCGGUGAUAAGCCGGAGGAAGGUGAGGAUGACGUCAAGUCCUCAUAGCCCUUAUGGGCUGGGCUACACACGUGCUACAAUGGCGGUGACAGUGGGCAGCGAGGUCGCGAGGCCAAGCUAAUCUCUAAAAGCCGUCUCAGUUCGGAUUGUUCUCUGCAACUCGAGAGCAUGAAGGUGGAAUCGCUAGUAAUCGUGGAUCAACAUGCCACAGUGAAUACGUUCCCGGGCCUUGUACACACCGCCCGUCACACCAUGGGAGUUGGUUUUACCCAAAGCAAGUGCGCUAACCGCAAGGAAACAGCCUACCACGGUAAGGUCAGCGACUGGGGUGAAGUCGUAACAAGGUA
This 1456-nucleotide ribosomal RNA is filed under the name metagenome. RNAcentral's name for it is "bacterial SSU rRNA". It matches the Rfam family "Bacterial small subunit ribosomal RNA". The record is from RNAcentral.